Molecule: long non-coding RNA, 5310 nt
Organism: Brassica rapa (field mustard)
Lineage: Eukaryota; Viridiplantae; Streptophyta; Magnoliopsida; Brassicales; Brassicaceae
Source: RefSeq, a predicted model, not a curated record
GAUUUAUAUAUCUUUUUAAUGAUUUUUCAGUUUUCUACUUUUCUCUUCUCUUCUCCUUCACUCUAGCUUUUUGUUUCCUCUCGUAAACUCAACUUUCUCCAACUCUCUUUCUUUUCUUCCAUUGAUUUUCUGUAUUUUAUAAUCAAUUUGUUUUUUUUUAUAAAUCAUGAUAAUUGCUUUUUCAAUCUUAAUAAUUUUCUUUUUUUUUCCUGUGAAUGUUCUAAAAUAAAAUUGUUCGUGUUUAAGAAGAUGACUUGGUAAUAAUUUAAUAUCAAAAGAAAAACUGGAGAAUUUUAAACUCAUGACUAUGUUUCUAUAACGGUCAUGAAUACUAUUCUAUAACGGCUAAACAAAACGUGUAACUGUUACAUCGUUUGGUAGAUGUUACAUGAUUUGGAUAUAUGACUUGUUAGAUGAUACAUUGUUUUGGGUAAAUGAUUUGUUAGUUGUUACAUUAUUUAUUACCAGGUAUACAAUUUGUUAGCUGCUAAGAAGUGACUUGUUAGAUGAUACAUUGUUUUGGAUAAUUGAUUUGCUAGUUGUUACAAUAUUUAUUACCAGCCACACGAUUUGUUAGUUUGUUACAUUAUUUGUUAUUAACGGCUAACUAACGAUGUAGCAUUAAAUAUAUUUUGUACCAUAUGUAUUAUUAACGUCUAACAAAGUAUGUAGCGAUACAUAUAUUUUAAUAUUAUAUAGCAUAUUGUUUUGAUCAUAACUCUAUAUACAAAUACAUUUUCACAUUUAUAUAUAAUUGUAUAAAGUAUAAUAAUCAAAAUAAGUCAUAUAUUAAUAUAUUAAUAAAUACUAAAGUAUUGAAUAAGAAAAAAAGUUGAGUGUUCAAAAAAAAUGUGAUCAUCUUUAAAAAAGUUGUAAAGAAAAAGCUGUCAAAACAACUGUUGAUUAUGUUGUGUGUGUCAGUGGACCCAGCUGCGUGUGUCAGUGGAUUUAGCUCAGUCAGUGGGUGGAUCUGAGAAAAAGGGUAAUUUCGUCUCUUCAUUUCGUUUGAGGUAAGCUUUGAGCCUCCACUGUCACUUCGUUCCCAUUAUUUUAUAACGGGCAUGCGUUUUGUAUAUCCACUUCAUUGUCCCUAUAAUAAAUGCAAAACAGAAUAUAGAGAAACUAGAUUAUUCGAUUUAACUAAAAUCACGGUUCAAAGGAUUCAAUCAACUAAUCAUAUUAACGUGUGCAACACCCACAUAAUAUCUUGGGCUUUCAAAUUGGUAACUGAAUUUUCCUAAUAUUAAAAAUAAAAGAUAUCGAUAAUAUAUUGCACAAAAUCUCGUGAGAUACGAUCUAGAGUAUGCCCCAAAUUUCCCCGAGAAUCUAAAUUUUAAAGUGAGAAAUGGGGUUACAUAUACAAAUACUAGAACAUCUUUACUACAUAUAGGUUUUUUUUUUUGGUAAAAUGUUAAAUACUACAUAUAGGUUCAAUUCGCCAUAUUAUAUUUUUUCUGUCCAUAGACCUUACCACUUGGCUAUGCCACCAAAAUGAAGCUCAGACUUGUAGAUGCAUUCAAUGCUCUCAAGGCCUAGAAAUGUUUUUAGUUUUUUUGUUUUCUAGAAAAAUAUAAUAUUAUGGGUAUAAAAAAGUUUGGCACAGAAAAUAUUUAGAUCGGAGACAGAAAGUAGCGAAAGAGAGAAAAAGUAGCGAAAGAGAGAGAAAGUAGAUCUCCGGCGAACGGCCGGCGCGUGAGCGUGCGUGCCGUCGCCGGAGACCGUCAUCCUUCAGUAAAAAGUCCCCGAUUGUAUUUCACCCUCGUUUCUAACGGCUUCCGCCUUGCCUGAGCUCUGGUCAGUCACCCGAGGUGGUGGUUCUGUCACUGGUGUGAAGACGCGAAGGUCUAAAGGAGCGGAGAGGUAAAGAUGUUUGUGUUUUUUUGUCCCGGGAGGUGGAGGCUUAGUUAGCUCCGCCGCCGCCGGUUCUAGUCGCUGGGAGGCGGAAGGUACUAUAACUUCGUCGUCGUCAGCUCAAGUCCCCAGGAGGUUAAUACUCCGUCAGUCUUACGUCGCCGGCUUCAGCGUCUCGAGGGUGGUUGUCUGCUCGAGUAUGGGCUCUGGUCAUGGAGCGGAAGAGGUUUCUUCGGGUUAUGAUUUUUAGGGUUUGUAGCGUCGCCGUCGGAUGAGCUCUCAACAGGGGGAGGAUGCUCUCCGACAGGGUCUCAGUGUGGUGAAGAAGAGAUGUGGUUGCGGUGGAGGCUCGAAGGGAUUCAGAGCUCCGCCGAAUCGAGGGUUUUCAGCGGUUGGGUACGGCGGUUUGGUAAGGCGGAGACGGUCGGGUUGAGGCGGAGUGACGCGUGGCGCACUGACGGUCAAGAUCUCCACACGUGGCGCGCUUCUGCCUCCUCGACGCACGCGUUUCCCAGAGUCGGUCGGUGCUGGGUUCGAGUAGGUGGGCUUGGGCCUGUUAAGCCAAUUUGGGCUUAGGGUUUUCUCUGGUUUGUUUGGUUGGCCGAUUAGUAAUGUGGGCCUCUGUAUGUGGGCUUCGGCCAUUGGGCUUGGCCCGUAAUCUUUUAUAAAAUCAAAAUUUGAUAGGAAAAAAAAAUAUUUAGAUCGGAUAAAUUUUGUUUCAUUUUCAAAUUUUUCUUAUUUUAUAAUAUAUAUAAAAUGAAGCAUUGGUUCGUUCCAAUUUAAUUACUUCUUUUCAAUUUUAAUGAAUUUGUUGCAUAUUUUAAAUAAAAUAUUUUUAAAAUUUACAAUUUCUGCUCAACAGCAUUAAUUUUUCGUGCAAUACUUGUUUGUUAAAAGAAAGCCUAUUCUCUGUCCUAGAAAAGCGUCAAAGCUAUAUUUAAUGGCCCUAAUCAUAUGAUGCUUUAGUCCAUUGUUGAUUCUCAGUUUAAAGUGGAAGUGAUACAUAACAUACCAGUCAGGUCAUCUGUUGGAAUCAGUUUAUCUGAUCUGAUUAAAUCAAAUCACCAGAUACCAUAGCAAACGCAGAAGCAUUACUCACACGCACAAUUGUCUCAUCUUAAGCACAGACCAGUAGUAGUCAAACGAAGGUUCUCCCAAAAAUAAGUUUAUAAAAAAGCUUCAAGUCAAAUUUUAAUGUUUACGAUGACAAUCACUAGUUUGAGCAAAAUAAACCACUUGAAACCAAACCUUGUGACUACCAGGCUUGUCAAUUAGCAUAUACUCACCAGUUUUAUAAUAUUUAUGUAUGAUAUUAUCAUAUAAGAUGUUUUUAACACUUGACUUCUAGUUAAUAAACUAUACAUCUAUGUUUCUAUGUUUGUAUCAUUUAAAUUAAUUAUAUACUAAUAUAAAAUAGAAAAAAUGAUUGUUUGGCUUAAUAAAAUUUAUUUAUGUGUUAGGACUAAUUUAUUUAUAUAUGUAAUAGUUACUAAUUUUUAAUUAUUUAAUAUAUAUUUGUUAUUUCAUAAUAUAUGAAAGAACAAAUAAUACUUAAAAUAAUAUAUAUAUAUAUAUAUAUAUUAUGUGCAUUACACAAAAGGUUAAAAAGACUCUUAACCUAGUUUGAUAGUAUUGUAUUACUAUCUAUUUUGCAAGGACCCCGAAGCUCAAUGGUAUAUAUAUGGUAAACUAUACUGUAUCAAAUAAUUUGUCCGUGGUAUCUAAUAAUUAACUGGUUAAUUGCUGGUUAGUUAUUGUACCGUUUGAUAUCAAGAAAAGAAGGAUCAAACAAAAAAGAUUGUGGAAGCAAAACAUAAGAUCCGUGAUUAGUGGAUUAAUAACAAAAUUUCUAGAAUUUGGAAGAUGCAUAUAUUUAUUUGUUUAUAUUGUCUUCUUGCCCGCAUACAAAUCUAGGACUGACUUUCUUUAGCUGUUCUUAUUUGUCUUUGUUCUACAAUGACAGGGUCGCUAGCACUUUGGUUAGGCUCGAGUCGCCUUGCCUUCAUCACGUUACUUGAUUUAAUGUUUUUUAAAUAAAACAUUAGGUAAGGUUCAUCACAUAUUCACAUUAUUACCCAAUUUGGCUGUUUUCGUGAAAAAUAUCAUUUUAUUCUACGAAAGUCGAAAAUAGAUAUAUUACGUAUGUGCACCUUUUUAUAUGAUUUGUAUUAUUUUCUACAACUUGCAUAUUUUGUGUGUGGUUAAAAUAAAUCAUAUAAACCAAUUCGUUCAUGGGAAAUUUUACUUCUACACUUUCUUUGGUACCACAUUUCAAGUAUACCACUAGUAUGGGGACAUUUUCACAAAUACACUUUUCAUUAAUGACCAAAAGACCAUACUAACCCUAACUUUAUCUCUCUCUCUCUCUCGCGAUCAUCUUCUUUUCCUCUCUCUUUCUCUCGAUCUUUUUUCUUCUUCUCUGCCUCCGAUUCACCGGAGAUCCACCGUCUCUCUCUCGCGAUCUUUUUUCUUCCUCUCUACCUCCGAUUCACCGGAGAUCCACCAUCUCUCUCUCAUUCCACUGGUUCUCUGCGGUUCACACUGUCGACUCCUACUUCUGUACAAGAUUCCCAACUGUUCCUGAGAAACUGUGUUCAAGCUUAUAUGAGAGCCACAACCCUGUCAGCACACAUUUGCUUCGAUGUACAAUGGUAAUCACCAUUUUCAUCAUUGACUUUUGUUUUUCUAUUAAAUCUUAUUGAACAAUCAUUGAGAUUUUUUUUUUGUUUUUUCUUGUGUCUUAAAUUGCAGAAUCUGUUCCCUUUAGCGAACUAAUCUCCUCUGAUUCCUUGAUUGUGAAACCUCUGUUUCUCAGUUGUUGAUUUUGUUCCAUUUACUUUUUUACUUGCUUUCUCUCUCACAUACAAAGACCAUAGCUUUUCCACAAGUUUCGUGGCAGAAAAUUUUCAGGCACUCUAUAUCAGAUUUUGAGUGUUUGGUUACUUUAACAGCCUGCUUCUGCUGAUGGAUCUGGAAACUGAAAAUUGAAUAGCUUCGGUUCUGUUGAGAGAAGCAGCAGAGUUGAUGAGACAAGCUGAAAAAGAUGGCGUCCGAGCUUAUCUUGAGAAGCCUAAUGUAAGGCAUCGACCUAACUCGAGGUUUCUCACAGCAACUGUCCUUGGUGUUCAAUAAUUUCAGUGUUGGAGAAGUCUCCGGAGGCGGCUUUAGAUGUGGAUCAGACGAUCUUUGUGGUUGUGGCGGAAGACGUGGAGAGGAGCAAAACGACGGUGUUAUGGGCGGCAAGAAACUUCUCCAGCAAGAAGAUUUGCUUGCUUUACGUCCAUCGUCCUGCUCGGCCUGCCUCCUGCAGUGAGAAUCUUUUGCUUCUCUUUCUUUUUGACUUAACUGUUUUGUGGUGAAUUAUAGAAUAUUUAUGGAUGUUGAAUUGUUCUUGAGUGUAGAUUUGCUCAUGAAUCAUGAUUGAAUCUUACCAAGUCUAUAUAUAUAUCCUUUAGUUGA